Molecule: unclassified non-coding RNA, 211 nt
Filed under: plant metagenome
Description: partial contains small subunit ribosomal RNA, internal transcribed spacer 1, and 5.8S ribosomal RNA
Source: RNAcentral
UUUCCGUAGGUGGACCUGCGGAAGGAUCAUUCAUAAUAAAGUGUUUUAUGGCACUUUUUAAAAAUCCAUAUCCACCUUGUGUGCAAUGUUAGAUCUCGUCAAUCUUGGCGAGAUUUUUAUACAUCAACUCAUUCUUUAACUAAUUUGUCUGAAAAAUAUUAUGAAUACUUAAUUCAAAAUACAACUUUCAACAACGGAUCUCUUGGCUCUC